AUGCUUUAUUGAAUGUUAAUUCAGAAGUAUAUUGGGUCUGUCGGAUUUCCGACUAUGGCGAUAAACACUCCGUGAAAUAGGCGUAGCGGACCCGGGGGCAGUGCCCGGCGCCUCCACCAAAAGAACCCUUUAGGGACUGUAAAUUAUGGGGGCGAACCAGGAUCGACGUGCGUAGUAAAGACGUAGUUUUUGCCCGGCAUGGCACCACUGUUAUCGGGCCACAUUCGUAGUUGCGAACGAUAAUGAAAUCGCAAUCGCUGCCUAAAUAAUUUAGGUAAGCGCGGUUUGGGGGGCACCGGGCAACAGAAGCCCCUCGCU
RNAcentral lists this transfer-messenger RNA (318 nucleotides) under Rhodospirillaceae bacterium. It matches the Rfam family "Alphaproteobacteria transfer-messenger RNA". From Rfam's summary of the family: Bacterial tmRNA, also known as 10Sa RNA or SsrA, is named for its dual tRNA and mRNA-like properties. Its role is to liberate the mRNA from a stalled ribosome. The record is from RNAcentral. Lineage: Bacteria; Pseudomonadati; Pseudomonadota; Alphaproteobacteria; Rhodospirillales; Rhodospirillaceae.